GUCUUAGUAGCAUAGUGGUUAGUGCACAGCCCCAGUUAGGCUGAGACACGAGUUCGAAUCCCGACCGAGAUA
RNAcentral lists this transfer RNA (72 nucleotides) under Nippostrongylus brasiliensis. It matches the Rfam family "tRNA". From Rfam's summary of the family: Transfer RNA (tRNA) molecules are approximately 80 nucleotides in length. Their secondary structure includes four short double-helical elements and three loops (D, anti-codon, and T loops). Further hydrogen bonds mediate the characteristic L-shaped molecular structure. tRNAs have two regions of fundamental functional importance: the anti-codon, which is responsible for specific mRNA codon recognition, and the 3' end, to which the tRNAs corresponding amino acid is attached (by aminoacyl-tRNA synthetases). tRNAs cope with the degeneracy of the genetic code in two manners: having more than one tRNA (with a specific anti-codon) for a particular amino acid; and 'wobble' base-pairing, i.e. permitting non-standard base-pairing at the 3rd anti-codon position. Lineage: Eukaryota; Metazoa; Nematoda; Chromadorea; Rhabditida; Heligmosomidae. The record is from Rfam by way of RNAcentral.